RNAcentral lists this ribosomal RNA (395 nucleotides) under uncultured bacterium. Its description in RNAcentral is "partial 16S ribosomal RNA". It matches the Rfam family "Bacterial small subunit ribosomal RNA", at positions 338 to 730 of the family's 1533-position model. The record is from RNAcentral.
CCUACGGGCGGCAGCAGUGAGGAAUAUUGGUCAAUGGACGCUGGCCUGAACCAGCCAAGUAGCGUGAAGGAUGACUGCCCUAUGGGUUGUAAACUUCUUUUAUAUAGGAAUAAAAUGCGGUACGUGUGCUGUUUUGCAUGUACCUUAUGAAUAAGGAUCGGCUAACUCCGUGCCAGCAGCCGCGGUAAUACGGAGGAUCCGAGCGUUAUCCGGAUUUAUUGGGUUUAAAGGGUGCGUAGGUGGGUUGUUAAGUCAGUUGUUAAAGUUUGCGGCUCAACCGUAAAACUGCAAUUGAUACUGGCAGUCUUGAGUACAGUUGAGGUAGGCGGAAUUCGUGGUGUAGCGGUGAAAUGCAUAGAUAUCACGAAGAACUCCGAUUGCGAAGGCAGCUUACU